RNAcentral lists this ribosomal RNA (483 nucleotides) under uncultured bacterium. RNAcentral's name for it is "partial 16S ribosomal RNA". It matches the Rfam family "Bacterial small subunit ribosomal RNA", at positions 29 to 522 of the family's 1533-position model. The record is from RNAcentral.
AGUGAACGCUGGCGGCGUGCUUAACACAUGCAAGUCGAACGAGAACGGAUUAUAGCUUGCUAUAAUUGUCAGCUAAGUGGCGCACGGGUGAGUAAUGUAUAGGUAAUAUGCCUCUUACUAAGGGAUAACAAAUGGAAACGUUUGCUAAUACCUUAUACUCCUCAUUACCAGAAGUUAAUACGUGAAAGAUUUAUUGGUAAGAGAUUAGCCUGUAUUGUAUCAGUUAGUUGGUGGGGUAAUGGCUUACCAAGACUAUGACACAUAACUGGUUUGAGAGGAUGAUCAGUCACACUGGAACUGAGACACGGUCCAGACUCCUACGGGAGGCAGCGGUGGGGAAUAUUGCACAAUGGACGGAAGUCUGACGCAGCAACGCCGCGUGGAGGAUGACACAUUUCGGUGCGUAAACUCCUUUUAUAUGAGAAGAUAAUGACGGUAUUAUAUGAAUAAGCACCGGCUAACUCCGUGCCAGCCGCCGCAUAA